CCUGACUGCCAGGAGUGGAGCGGGAGUCGGCCCAGCCAAUGCGCAUGCGCGAGGAGCCAGCGGCUUCUCCCAUCACAGUGGUUCCCACCGUUGUCUUAGAAACCAGUCCCCGAGGCUUGGCAAAGCAGGAGCCCUCCAUGGAGGUGCUUGGGUGUCGGGGCAAACCCCAGGCGGAGUCCGGGGGAAGCAGCACGGCAUCCCAGCCUCAGGCCUGCCCGGACGGUGUUGGUUGGGCUACAUUGAGGCCAGGUGCAGUGGCUCACACCUCUAAUCCCAGUUCUUUGGGAGGCUGAGGCCAGCGGAUCACGAAGUCAGGAGAUCAAGACCAUCCUGGACAACACGGUGAAACCCUGUCUCUUCAAAUAUACAAAGAAUUAACCAGAGAAGCAGGGAAUCUGGAAUUUUGGGUGAAAUGUCUGUUUCCAGAAGCUGAAAAUGCUCUCAAAUGGAAAAUUCAGGUAAGGUUGGGGAAGAUGUCAGGUGAUAGAAUGUACCCUGCCUCUGACAGCAUCCAAUCUGGAGCAAAGGCUUCUUUCAACCCUCCCCCAAACUCCCAAUACAAGCCCAAGUUCUGGAACAAGUACUUUCCAACACCUCCUUCAGAGAAGCUCCCUGGCUCCAGGCAGUGCUUGGUCCCCUCACUGCAGCAGGAAGCCCAGCUUGUGAACUGCAGGUGUGCUCCAGGUGGUUGCUGGAUGCAGGGUAUUGAUAGAUGGAUCUCAUCGAUACCCCCACUGCAUAACCAUAGUGCAGUGAAUAGAAGACACUUCUCUGCACCCCAAAAGCUCCAUGCUGAUUGCGAGAAGGAAAUGCUGGAUGGAGGGGUUCCUGGAACUACUGUGAGGGAAAUGGUAACAGAACUUUGGAUGUGGAACGUGCAGUAGGAGUUACACGAAGUGCGGGUCUGCACUUGGGGUGGUCAGCACGGCGGAUGCCCAGCAAACGCACUGCCUGGUCCACAUCCCGGAGUGGUCUCUACGCCCCAGUCGGCAUCGCAGCUGAUGGUGAAACUUUUGGUGUGGCAGAAGAGUGUCCACAAACUUUGGAAGUUGCUAGAGAAAAAUGAAACGACUAGUUUUGAAAGCCUUACUUCUGCCAAUGGAAGCACAUUCCAGCAUGUCGCCAACGCAAUCCAUUUUCCACCACUUUCACAAGAAAAGUUACGGCACAAUUAUACUAUCCUACCCUUAUAUACUUUUUGUGCAUGUGUACUUGUAUGUAUGUAUGUUAUAUA
This 1234-nucleotide long non-coding RNA is filed under the name Homo sapiens (human). RNAcentral describes it as "HSALNT0341042". The record is from RNAcentral. Lineage: Eukaryota; Metazoa; Chordata; Mammalia; Primates; Hominidae.